GCGCGAAAACUUUACAAUGCAGGCAACUGUGAUAAGGGAACCCCGAGUGCCCGUAUGGACGGGCUGUUCAGGUGCUUAAAAACCACCUGGAGAAAGGGCCGGGCAAGACCGGUGCCAGCCGCCGCGGUAAUACCGGCGGCUCGAGUGGUGGCCACUAUUACUGGGCUUAAAGCGUCCGUAGCUUGGUCGUUAAGCCUCUGGGGAAAUCUUCCGGCUCAACCGGAAGGCGUCUCAGGGGAACUGGCGACCUAGGGAUCGGGAGAGGUGAGAGGUACUCUGGGGGUAGGAGUGAAAGCCUGGUAAUCCUCAGGGGACCACCUGUGGCGAAGGCGUCUCACCAGAACGACUCCGACAGUGAGGGACGAAAGCUGGGGGAGCAAACCGGAUUAGAGACCCCGUAG
This 401-nucleotide ribosomal RNA is filed under the name uncultured bacterium. RNAcentral's name for it is "bacterial SSU rRNA". It matches the Rfam family "Archaeal small subunit ribosomal RNA", at positions 339 to 744 of the family's 1478-position model. The record is from RNAcentral.